UCCAAAACUAGCACAAAAUUAUAUACACAAAAUCAAAUUGUUCUCUUUCAAAAUCGCUUCUCCGUCUCGAACGUUUCAUCUCCGGCGAAAUUAUCCACAUCAGCUUCUGGCUUCAUUUUCGCCGGAAUCAGUUCUCUUUCUCUUCUUCCUUCUCUGACGCUUCACCUCGACGCCGAAUCGAUCCGACGAGUCUCCGGCUUUGCAAGAGAUGGAGGCAGAGAUAGAUAAAUGGCUGCAAUUAAGUUCAUCAAUCUAUGCUAUUGUUUCUGGGAAUGGGGUGAAGUCAAAGCAGAGGCUUCCAAAUCAUCUCUCAAUUUUGUUGAUAAACCUUUUCUUCCUCAGAACGUGAAUCGCUAUACUGAUAAAUAUGAAUGGUCUAGCUGGAACAAGAUUGGUGAUCAUUGCUUUUUUAGCUAACACAUUAUGCAAGAUUGUUGGUGGGUUAUGUGAUAAUCUGUUGACAUGUAUAGUAAGAGCGUGGGAUUAUAGUAAACCGUUGUUUGUUGCACAUGCAAUGAGCACUUUCAUAUAGAACAAUCCCGUAACAGAACGUCACCUUGUGUUGCUUGAUGAACUUGGAAUAACUCUCAUUCUGCCCAUCAAAAAGAAAGUAGCCUCUAGAGAUUAUGGUAGUGUUGCAACGGCCCAUGGUGGUGUUUCAUUAGGUCUACAACCGCAAACACACAAACUUUUUGAUGGUCUGUUAUGUUACAAAUGUUAUGUUAUGGAUGGUGUAUUUUGUGAAAUUCGAUGGUUAUUG
This is a long non-coding RNA of Camelina sativa (false flax), 760 nucleotides long. RefSeq lists it as uncharacterized. NCBI's taxonomy places the organism in Eukaryota, Viridiplantae, Streptophyta, Magnoliopsida, Brassicales, Brassicaceae. The record is from RefSeq and is a predicted model, not a curated record.